Molecule: non-coding RNA, 5318 nt
Organism: Ictidomys tridecemlineatus (thirteen-lined ground squirrel)
Lineage: Eukaryota; Metazoa; Chordata; Mammalia; Rodentia; Sciuridae
Source: RefSeq, a predicted model, not a curated record
AUCUGCCAUGGAUUGUAGGCACUCAGUCAAGAGGAUGAUUGAGCAUUUCCUAAGCCCAAGUAUUCGGAGUUGACAUGCCAUGGAUUUAAACAGGGCUUAUACGAAUGGAGCAAGAAUAUUUCAAAGCCCAAUACUCUGCCUUUCGCGUACUCUUCACUGGAGAGAGGGGAGGGGACAGAGAAGCAGAGUUUCUGGCAGCUGGCAAAAGGCAGAGGAGGAGGGAAGAGAGGUGUCAGGUGUCUGGAAGUUUCUGUGUAAGAUCAGGCAUCUGCAGAUUAAAUGAACGUUCUCCACACGGAAACAGAAGCCAGCAGAUGACCUGGCAGUUCCAGACUUCAGGAGCUGGCUGUCAGUACCAGAGGAAAAUCCCCACUCUGCCCAGCCCAGGUGGGGCCAGCGCUGCAGAGAUCCUGACCGUGUGCAUGUGUUCAGCGCAACUACGGCUCAGUGUAGUCUGAACACGAAUGAUUGUAAUCCCCUCGUGUUUAGAGGUAGCUUGCUAUAGUUUCAUAAGGUUAGAAUUUCAGGGAAUUAAACCCGGCUCAGAUCAACCUCCACCCCCAGCCAGGCGCGUGGAAGGCUGUUCAUUUCCUGGGGCUGGCGCGGCGCAGCCAAGUGCCGCAAGCUGGGAGCUUGACGCAGCAGAAAUUCACCAUCUCGCCGCUCUGGAGGCCAGAGUCUGAAAUCAGGGGUCAGCAGGGCUGUGUUCUUCCUGGAGAGAACCCGUUUCACGCCUCGCUCUUGCAUUCCGUGCUACUCGCGAUCCCUGUGGGCAUGGAGGAAACAACCCGGACCUGCUUACCACUGGGCAUUUCCACUGAAAUGGCACACACACAGAAUGCAUGUCAGCGAGGUCUGUGAUGCAGUGAUUCAGCCAGCUGAGGCAGAAGGAUCACAAGUUCAAGGUCAGCCUCAACAACUUAGUGAGACCCUGGCUCAAAACCAAUUGAAGAGAACUGGAGGCACCGCUCAGUGCAGAGCAAGAAAGAUAUGUGCAGCUGGGUUCCUUCCUGCAGAGCCCGAGUGGGAGAAGCAAAAAGAAAAGUAGGUGGUGGCAGCCAAGAAGGAGAGCAGUAGAAAACCCCUGAGGCCACCCGAGAAAGAGGAACAAGGGGGAGUCCUUCACCAAGAAGAAAUGAUACCCAGAGAGUAGCCACAGGUAAAUUAAACGAUCCCACAGCCAGCUACACGUCUCUGCACACAGCCACACAGAGGGCCUUUAAGAACCACCAGAGGAAGCUCUAGAGACAACAAUGAUCAGGGCUUGUGGAAAAUGCUGGGGCCAACCCGAGGGCUUUACUGACCCAUCAGAGCCAGGAAACAAGGAAGAAGACUCCCGGGAGAGGAUAGUGUAAACACCUGUGGGAAAGAACACAGACCUGCUCAGAACCGCUCAGUAACUCCUUUGUUUCUCUAUCUGGGGAAUGAUCUUCCUACUGGGAAGUGUAUAAGCAAAAGAAGCUUAGAGAGCCGUGAAACCCAGAGGGCCAGGGGCCCUGCAGCUUUAACCUCCUGAUAAACGCUGAGAUAGUGAAGCAGACAGACCUGCAAGCUCAGAUGAGCCAGACUCCAAGGAUGGGAACGUGGGCAAAGAGAGAAACAAAAGAUCCCCCAAAGGCUCUGAUGUGAUUUUUUUAAGAAAACGAGGGAAAGGUGGCAUAGACAGGUUAGUGUUUAUUCCUGGCUGAAGAUUAGAAUCUGUCAUGAAGCAGUCAACUUCUCAGCCAUAGGCAUGAGCUGCGAGAAUAGGCCAUGCCAAAGUAACCACACUUUCUCCUUUUGUGGGACUGUCACUGGAUUCACAGAUGGGGGGAGUUCACAGAGAUCAUGCACAUGGAUGUUGGCCAAGAUGCUCACGGAUCCAUGUAAAUAAGAUGGAAAACAUGAAUUUGAUAGGACCACAUUACAGCCAUGGGCUGGAUGAUCCCUGACCUGGGGUGCAGGCCAGCUGACAACAAAGGCCCCUCCUAGUUCCAUAACAGGAACACUGAGUUGAUGGCAGUUUUGAGCAAGAAGCUGUUAACUGACUGAAUUUCUAUUGGUGUACUUGGCUCUGGGCAUGCAAAGAUGUGUUGUUUCCCCAAGUGAACCUGUUCCUCAGAGGUGAACCCCCGCAAUUCCACCAAAAGGUCUCUCAAAAUCUUGUACAUGAAUAUUCACAGCAGCAUUAUUCUUAACCGUCGAAAAAGGAAAUAACUCAAAUAUCUAUAACUGAAGAGAUAAAUAAAAUGUGUAUGGCUACCUUUAAGAUCUGUGCAUUUCUCCAAAUAUAAAUAUCACCUAAUGAAAGAAUGAAAACACAGAAUGUGGCAUAUCCACACAAUGGAAUAUGAUUUGGCAUAAAAGGGAAUUAAAAAAUGAUGAUACACCCUACAACACUGAUGAACCUUUAUAACAUUAUGCUAACUGGGAGGAGACAGUCACAAAAGACUACACAUUGUGUGAUUUCGUUUUCAUUUCUUUAUAUGAAAGGCUUUGAACAGAUAAAGUUACAGAGCCCAGAAAGAUGAGUGGUUAUAGGUGAAUGCAUAAAGAAAAUGUGGCAAAUACAUACAGUGGAGUUUUAUUCAGCUAUCAAGAAAGAAGAAAUAGUGUCAUUUGAAGGAAUAAUAGAUGGAAGUCGAGACCUUUAUGUUAAGGGAAAUAAGCCAAACCCAGAAGGUCAAGGGUCAUAUGUUUUCUCUCACAUAUGGAGGCUAGAGAGAAAAAAGCAAAAGUAAAGUUGGGGGUGAUCACAUGAAAAGCAAAGGGAGAGUGUAACAGAGGAAAGUGACCAGGUAUGGGAGGAGGGAGGGAGGGGGUAAGUGAUGAGGAGGGUAUGGACUAAAUUACAGUGUUCUGUUGUGUGCAAGUGCAAAUAUGUAAAAACAAGUCCCACCAUUAUGUACAACUAUAAUGCACCAAUAAAAAAUGUGGAGGAAAAAAAAAGAUUCAUGGUUGCCUAAGUGGGUUCAAGGCAAACAGGGGGACUGUUAAUAGACACAGACCUUCUUUUGGGGAUGCUGAAAAGUUUUAAAACUGAAAGUGGUGAUAGGUGUUCAGCUAUAUGAAUACAAAGAUCAUUGAAUUGUGUGCUUUCAAUGGGUGAAUUAUAUGGCAUGUGAAUUUUUUCUCAAUAAAUCUGUUAUUUUUUUAAAAGUUGAACUACUAAUGAAGAUACAUGCAAGUAAGUAUAGAGCGUUCUGGUUGGUUCCAUAUCAGAGGUUCUAUUAAUUUACACAUUUACUUGCCAGUCUGCUCUACUGCAUGGUACAUUCCUCUAAGGAAGGAACCCUGGAUUAAUCAUCUUUGUAUCCCCAGCUUUUAGCAGAUUCUUAGCCCACAGAGGACCAUCACUAGAUGUAGUUGAAUGCUUGAUAAGUUGGUAGCAUGCUAGCCAGCAAUCGAUUAAAAACUAGAGCAACCUAGCCUCAAUAAUGCCUCCUCUGUAAACGUAUGCACUGAAUAUUUCCGUAAUUCCUCAUUUCAAAUAUCCACUUUCUAGCAUUAAAAUGCCAAAAUUGAUUAAAAAAUAAAAAAUAAAUGACAAGCCUAUGCUUUUGCAAGCAGUUAGUCAAUGUUAAAAUUCAGACAGGUAAUUCAAAUGACAUGCAAACAGCCUGGCAGCAGGAGAUGAACUUCUUUACUAAGAAAAAGAGUUCCACAAUGUUUUGACUGAAAGUGUGGCGUCCUUCAUCUAGUUAAUCUUUCACUAUCAAGUUUGAUUUUUCAUUAUUGCACCAAAAUCCUCCAAUUCCAAAGUAAUCUUCAAUCUUCUCAAAAAACUUCUGUCAUGGUUUGGAUAGGAGGUAUCCCCCCAAAAGCGCUUUGUGUUAAUGCAGGAAUAUUCAGAAAUGAUUAACUGUGAGAGCUGUAACCUAAUCAGUCCAUCCUAGUUUGAAUGGAAUGACUGGGAGUUAACUGUAUGCAUGGCUGGAGCAAUUGGGUCACUGGGGACGUGUCCUGGAGGGACGCAUCUUACUUCGCAUCUUUGCUGCAGCCCUUCUCUGCCCACUUCCUGACCCCACUGGUGAGCUGAGCAGCUUUCUUGCACUGGGCCCUUCCCUCAUGAUAAUCUGCCUCAUCCUGGGCUCAGAGCAAUGGAGUUGGACUGAGACCUCUGAAACUGUGAGCCCCAAAUAAACUUUGCCUCCUUUAAGUUGUUCUUGUCAGGCAUUUUGGACACAGUGAUGCAAAGCUAACUAAAACAGCACCCAUUGCCUGUUUGUUGGAGGUGAAUGCCUUUGCAGAUGUGCAAUGGCAUAUGCUGCUUGAAAGAGCUCUCUGAGGCUCCUUGUUCUGUGAAUCGUGGCUCUUCUGUUUCCAUAACCUCCCCAUGACUGAGCUACUGAAUGAGAACUUAACAAUUCAUGUCCAUCUGUAAGAUAAACUUCUUUAUUCAAUAUAGAGUGUAGCCGAGGAGUAAGUUUUCUUCUUUUACAAUCCUAAAGGUGUUACUGUCCAAAGGAGUCUUGUUUCUUUGGAAUUAAAUUCUUAGCAUAUGGAUUGUAGGAAAAGAAUGAAAACUGAAACUUCACUGAGAUGCUAUUUCUCACUUCUCCGAGAGGCAAAAUCCAAAAGUGGAAUGACAUACUUGUUGCUGGUGGAAAUGCUAAAUGGUCCAAUCCUUGUAGAGGAUAACUGGAAAUAACUAGUAAAAUUACAAACAUUACCUUUAUACCUAGCAGUUUCACUUCUAGGAAUCUUUUCCAAAGAUGUGCUCUCAAAAACAAGAAAUGCAUAUAUACAAGGCUUUUCAUUAAUAACACUGUUAAGUAUUAAAAACUGUUUCAUUAAAUCAGGCAACAAUCAAACCAUCUUUUUUUUGCCACUUCUUCUAAACUCUUUUACAUGCAUUGAAAGAAAAUAGUGUUUCUUUUACUAAUUCAGAGGCAAAAUAAUUUGUGAUAGCAGUGGGCUUCCACCAACUAUUUUCUUUAUGUUAAAAAAUUGGGGCUGGGGUCAUGGCUCAGAGGUAGAGCACAUGCCUAGCAUGCGUGAGGCACUGGGUUCGAUUCUCAGCACCACAUAAAGCAAAAUAAAGACACUGUAUCCACCUAUAACUAAAAAAUAAAAAUAUUUUUAAAAAUUGUGCUCACUGCUUAAAGGAACAAUUUGAACUGGGAGCCUCCUUCCUGUAUACCCAUUCCUGACUCCCAUCACCAGGUGGAGAAAUAAGACUUUUUGCUACUUCAGAGACUUCCCAGCAUAACUUCUAAAGAUGUCUGAGCUGUCUUCACAGCAAAGGAAAAGGAAACAACAAUGUAAAGAGAGAGCCUACAGAAUAGGAGAGAAUCUUUGCCACUUGCACCUCGGAGCAUUAAUCUCCAGGAUAUAUA